AAACUAUAUCCUGUAUGUUAAUAAAUACUUAAAUAUUUUUUUUUUAUUGAAGCUUGUAUUGAAUGCUUGAUAUGAAAGGACGUGGAUAAUACAAAGGGUCGUAGUUAAUACGACUAUAAAUAGGGAUGUUGAAGUUGUUCGUUGAUAUAUGGAAGAAGGUAAAAAUUCUAUUUUGAGAAUAGAGAAAUCACUUUUAGAUAUUGAAUUCACGAAAUUUAAAAUUUUGUAGUUCUUGCAUUUAACAUUAUUGAGAUUAUGUUUUUAGCAUUGCAGACAUUUUGUAAAUGACUCAAUUAGAAGUUCAAAAAUUGUUGGCAUCAGUGGAAAAGGAUGAGUUUGCGCUUAGAUGGGAUACUCAAGAGGCAAGAUUAAAAUGCACGAUACUCAGAAGGCACGCAACAUAUGAUCAAGCUCAAUAAAUGACACUUCGAUUUCUGUGACAGAUGACCAAACUUAGUAAAUGAUUUCGAUUUUUGCACGAAUAUUAGAAAUUGUUCUCUUAUCACUUAUUCUUUGUUAGUGGUAUAAUUUUUUUUUCUUUUCUUUUUUUCAAAUUUUGUUGGACUUAGUGGAAAGGGAGAAACGAGAGGAUAGGAGCUGAAGAUGAUGGUUGAAAGGAUGAAAUUCAAUGUCUUUUUGUUAGGAAAAUGGUUG
RNAcentral lists this long non-coding RNA (654 nucleotides) under Olea europaea subsp. europaea. The record is from RNAcentral. Lineage: Eukaryota; Viridiplantae; Streptophyta; Magnoliopsida; Lamiales; Oleaceae.